UGUUCUCGUCGCCUUCCUCCUCGUCUCGACGCCAAACCUUAUCCAGGAGCUAGCCCGUGCUCGACUGCAUUGGCCUGAGUCGCUGUCCUGCCCUGCCUCGCUGCCGUCACCUCGCCGUUGAGCUCCCCGUGACGCGUCCGUCCUCUGCUCCGUUUUGGCAUGUCGGCCGAGCUCUCAAGAGCGUCCGCGAGCCCUCCCCUCGGCCUAUAUAAGGACCCCCCGAGGUGUUCCGCAGCUCCCAAGCCUCUCCCCGUUCCUCAUUUGCCCCCGGAGUCCCCUAAUCUCGCCGGAGUUGGCCGUCGUCCACCAUGGCCGCCUCGGCCUCGGCUUGAUUCCGGCCAAAUCGAGCCUCCUCUCCUCCUCCUACCACGUCCACCGGGUCCCCCUCGUUCCACUCAGCCGCCCCACCCCCUUGCCCUCUCGCCGGAGUCGCCUGUUUCGCCAGAACACCACCUCGGCUGCCGCCCCUGGCCUCCUCUGGCGCCGCCUCUCCCGUCCACCUCACUCCUCCCCGGCGGCCGUGUCUCCCCUAAACGGAGGCGCCUCGGUCCCUCGCACCCGCCGGUGGCCUCGGCUCGGCCGGAGAUGGCCUGAGCUAGCCGGCCCCUUGGCCAUUUCCCUCCCCUGCCUCUGCUCUGUCUCACGGGAGAACAGGCGAGCGAGAGGAAGGAGACGACCGAGCCUGGCCCCUCCCCCUGCGGCUAGACCCCACCUAAAACGUAAUCCGCCCGAAGGCGCUAUCCAUUUUCAGCCGCCAGGGACCUGUUUGUGAGGAUUUUUAUCACAGAUUAGUCCCUAAUCUUCUACACCUCAUAACUUCGCGACCGUAACUCCGAUUGAGCCCCUCCGAAAGAGAACCGUCCGGCGUUUCGUUCCGCGGCUUCACCGCACUUUUUCCCGGGGUCUCCGUCAUCCGAGGCAAGCCACAACCACCAUUUGCAUGAUAGCCAUGCAGUAGCAUUGGUUUUCAACUUGAAUCUUUAAUAACUGUUUGUUUGUUUUGCUACUGCUGUCGUUAUUUCGGUUAUGCUUAUGGAUCGGUGUUUACCGUCAUGCUAUGCUUUCUUGCACUCCGUUAUCAUGUUCUACUUGCUAGUAUUUCUGUCGUAUGUCAUGCUUGGUAGUAGUACCUGUUGGUAUUGGUAACAUUCUUCGUUGCAUGACUUUGGUCGGUUACCGAGUAUCGUUUGUAUGCAUUGUUCCUUUGCUGUUAGUUGGUUAAGGGCUUACUUGGUAUUGUUCUUGCUAUGUUCUUCCAUGGUAUUUAUUCAUGAUGCUAGUGGUCGGGUUAUGCUAUGAGUAGUGUUAUACUUGUGAUAUUCAUGCUCGUCAUUGUGCCAUGCUUAGUGGGAUAUGAUUCAUGGUUAUUAAUCUGGUUAAUAGUUAUGUUGCACCCCAUGCGUAUGUUGAUAUCAUGCUCAUGCAUCGUACUUGCAUCAUGUUAUUUUCAUAUGACUCAGCUUAUUGCAUUCAAGUUUAAUCGGAUAAUAAUCAAACUUGAACACCUGUUGGCUAAGUCAUAGUGCCAUCGAAUUGAGCUGACCAGUGCAGCCACACUUGCCUUUAUGGGAGGGUCCUAACUGGGUCUAUUGUCAUGCCUCUCGCCGGUGCCUCCAACGAGGAAAGGUUAUGCGCGGGCGCUACCUUGGCCGGGUAGGACGGCAUAAGCCUUGUGUGCCCAUGUUUGGUUUUGAGCUCAUGUCCCCGUUUG
Molecule: long non-coding RNA, 1711 nt
Organism: Aegilops tauschii subsp. strangulata
Lineage: Eukaryota; Viridiplantae; Streptophyta; Magnoliopsida; Poales; Poaceae
Source: RefSeq, a predicted model, not a curated record